This 253-nucleotide ribosomal RNA is filed under the name uncultured bacterium. RNAcentral describes it as "partial 16S ribosomal RNA". It matches the Rfam family "Bacterial small subunit ribosomal RNA", at positions 524 to 776 of the family's 1533-position model. The record is from RNAcentral.
UACGUAGGGUGCAAGCGUUGUCCGGAAUUAUUGGGCGUAAAGAGCUCGUAGGCGGUUUGUCGCGUCUGCUGUGAAAACUCGGAGCUUAACCCCGGGCCUGCAGUGGGUACGGGCAGACUAGAGUGCGGUAGGGGAGACUGGGAUUCCUGGUGUAGCGGUGAAAUGCGCAGAUAUCAGGAGGAACACCGGUGGCGAAGGCGGGUCUCUGGGCCGUAACUGACGCUGAGGAGCGAAAGCGUGGGGAGCGAACAGG